This 229-nucleotide unclassified non-coding RNA is filed under the name plant metagenome. Its description in RNAcentral is "partial contains small subunit ribosomal RNA, internal transcribed spacer 1, and 5.8S ribosomal RNA". The record is from RNAcentral.
UCUCCGUAGGUGAACCUGCGGAGGGAUCAUUACAGAGUUCUCGCCCUCGCGGGUAGAUCUCCCACCCACUGUUAUCGUUACUGUGUUGCUUUGGCGGGCCGCCGGGCCCCGCUCGGCCGCCGGCUCCGGCUGGCGCGCGCCCGCCAGAGGCCCAGCAAACUCUGAAUGUUAGUGUCGUCUGAGUACUAUAUAAUAGUUAAAACUUUCAACAACGGAUCUCUUGGUUCAG